GACAGAGUUGAGUAGCUGCCCAUCAUCUCUUGCUCUGCCUGCCCACUGUGUGGAAGCAACAAGGGAUAGAAGGAAAGCACCUCCAGCCUGCCAUUACCCACUGGUGAUUCCUCUCCACCGCCACCUGCUCCUGUUCCACAGGAUUCGUCUGCCACAAGUAAAGAGUGAAUCAUACCUUCUGGUGUGUGCAGAAGGGGGGAAGCUCCAAAUAUGGAGGAGACAC
This is a non-coding RNA of Maylandia zebra (zebra mbuna), 223 nucleotides long. The record is from RefSeq and is a predicted model, not a curated record. Lineage: Eukaryota; Metazoa; Chordata; Actinopteri; Cichliformes; Cichlidae.